This 496-nucleotide ribosomal RNA is filed under the name uncultured bacterium. RNAcentral's name for it is "partial 16S ribosomal RNA". It matches the Rfam family "Bacterial small subunit ribosomal RNA", at positions 28 to 506 of the family's 1533-position model. The record is from RNAcentral.
GAUGAACGCUGGCGGCGUGCCUAAUACAUGCAAGUCGAGCGAACAGAUAAGGAGCUUGCUCCUUUGACGUUAGCGGCGGACGGGUGAGUAACACGUGGGUAACCUACCUAUAAGACUGGAAUAACUCCGGGAAACCGGGGCUAAUGCCGGAUAACAUUUAGAACCGCAUGGUUCUAAAGUGAAAGAUGGUUUUGCUAUCACUUAUAGAUGGACCCGCGCCGUAUUAGCUAGUUGGUAAGGUAACGGCUUACCAAGGCAACGAUACGUAGCCGACCUGAGAGGGUGAUCGGCCACACUGGAACUGAGACACGGUCCAGACGCCUACGGGAGGCAGCAGUAGGGAAUCUUCCGCAAUGGGCGAAAGCCUGACGGAGCAACGCCGCGUGAGUGAUGAAGGUCUUCGGAUCGUAAAACUCUGUUAUUAGGGAAGAACAAAUGUGUAAGUAACGGUGCACGUCUUGACGGUACCUAAUCAGAAAGCCACGGCUAACUACGU